This 608-nucleotide ribosomal RNA is filed under the name Micromonospora sp. 11715. RNAcentral describes it as "bacterial SSU rRNA". It matches the Rfam family "Bacterial small subunit ribosomal RNA", at positions 74 to 699 of the family's 1533-position model. Lineage: Bacteria; Bacillati; Actinomycetota; Actinomycetes; Micromonosporales; Micromonosporaceae. The record is from RNAcentral.
GGCCCUUCGGGGUACUCGAGCGGCGAACGGGUGAGUAACACGUGAGCAACCUGCCCCAGGCUUUGGGAUAACCCCGGGAAACCGGGGCUAAUACCGAAUAUGACCUCUGACCGCAUGGUUGGUGGUGGAAAGUUUUUCGGCUUGGGAUGGGCUCGCGGCCUAUCAGCUUGUUGGUGGGGUGAUGGCCUACCAAGGCGACGACGGGUAGCCGGCCUGAGAGGGCGACCGGCCACACUGGGACUGAGACACGGCCCAGACUCCUACGGGAGGCAGCAGUGGGGAAUAUUGCACAAUGGGCGGAAGCCUGAUGCAGCGACGCCGCGUGAGGGAUGACGGCCUUCGGGUUGUAAACCUCUUUCAGCAGGGACGAAGCGUAAGUGACGGUACCUGCAGAAGAAGCGCCGGCCAACUACGUGCCAGCAGCCGCGGUAAGACGUAGGGCGCGAGCGUUGUCCGGAUUUAUUGGGCGUAAAGAGCUCGUAGGCGGCUUGUCGCGUCGACCGUGAAAACUUGGGGCUCAACCCCAAGCCUGCGGUCGAUACGGGCAGGCUAGAGUUCGGUAGGGGAGACUGGAAUUCCUGGUGUAGCGGUGAAAUGCGCAGAUAUCA